AGAGUUUGAUCCUGGCUCAGAAUGAACGCUGGCGGCGUGCUUAACACAUGCAAGUCGAACGAUGAAGCCUAGCUUGCCAGGUGGAUUAGUGGCGCACGGGUGAGUAAUAUAUAGUUAGCGUGCCUCUUAGUCUGGGAUAGCCAUUGGAAACGAUGAUUAAUACUAGAUACUCCUUCUGAUUCUAAUUUCAGUCUGGAAAGUUUUUCGCUAAGAGAUCGGACUAUAUCGCAUCAGUUAGUUGGUAGGGUAACGGCCUACCAAGACAAUGACGCGUAGCGGGUUUGAGAGGAUGAUCCGCCACACUGGUACUGAGACACGGACCAGACUCCUACGGGAGGCAGCAGUGAGGAAUAUUGCACAAUGGGGGAAACCCUGAUGCAACAACGCCGCGUGGAGGAUGACGCAUUUCGGUGUGUAAACUCCUUUUAUGAGUCAAGGAAAUGACGGUAGCUCAUGAAUAAGCACCGGCUAACUCCGUGCCAGCAGCCGCGGUAAUACGGAGGGUGCAAGCGGUAUUCGGAAUCACUGGGCGUAAAGGACGCGUAGGCGGGAUGCCAAGUCUGAUGUGAAAUCCUAUGGCUUAACCAUAGAACUGCAUUGGAAACUGGUAACCUAGAGUAUGGGAGGGGGAGAUGGAAUUAGUGGUGUAGGGGUAAAAUCCGUAGAUAUCACUAGGAAUACCGAAAGCGAAGGCGAUCUCCUGGAACAAUACUGACGCUAAGGCGUGAAAGCGUGGGGAGCAAACGGGAUUAGAUACCCCGGUAGUCCACGCCCUAAACGAUGUUCACUAGUCGUCGGAAUGCUAGUCAUUUCGGUGAUGCACUUAACAGAUUAAGUGAACCGCCUGGGGAGUACGGUCGCAAGAUUAAAACUCAAAGGAAUAGACGGGGACCCGCACAAGUGGUGGAGCAUGUGGUUUAAUUCGAAAAUACGCGAAGAACCUUACCUAGCCUUGACAUUGAUUGAACACUUUAGAGAUAGAGUGGUGCCCUUCGGGGAACAUGAAAACAGGUGCUGCACGGCUGUCGUCAGCUCGUGUCGUGAGAUGUUGGGUUAAGUCCCGCAACGAGCGCAACCCUCGUCCUUAGUUGCCAGCAGGUUAAGCUGGGCACUCUAAGGAGACUGCCUUCGCAAGGAGGAGGAAGGUGAGGACGACGUCAAGUCAUCAUGGCCCUUAUGGCUAGGGCUACACACGUGCUACAAGG
This 1205-nucleotide ribosomal RNA is filed under the name metagenome. RNAcentral describes it as "bacterial SSU rRNA". It matches the Rfam family "Bacterial small subunit ribosomal RNA", at positions 8 to 1232 of the family's 1533-position model. The record is from RNAcentral.